AUGCGUGGGGGGCUCCGCCAGCCCCAUUCACCCACCAGCCCUCCGCGCUGGGACAUGGGGCCCUGCUUCCUGCAGCCCCCCUGGUGCUCAGCCCCUUUGCAGGCUGAGCGGUUUCCCCCCUGCAGCGCACCCCCACCCAUCUCCUUUGCAGAGAAAAAAGGAGAAUGCCAACGUGCAAGUGGCCUGCCUGCCUGCCCCUGUGGUCCCCUGCCAUUUGGGGUAGGGCAGCAGGGCACAGCAUACCAUUGCUCCUGCACUCACAUCUCCCACUGUGGGCCCCCGGAAAGCACCAGGGGGUUCUCAGCCAUGCUUCCCCAGCCCGCGUGCUCCAGCAGCCAGGAACCCCGCGCCCUUGGGGCUCUGCCAAGCACAGCAAGCACCCGCCCGCCCCAACGGUCGCGCAGCGGCAGCAGCCCGCCUACAGAGGGGCUCAAAGCGGCCCCGUGUCCCUCAAGUGCCACCAGCAGCCAGGGGCUGGCACCCACUAACCUCUCCAGAGCUGCUUUGGGAAGCCCCCCAGGCCCCUUUCCCCCCCCAUUUUGGGGCUGUGCCACCCACCUGACCAGGCGAUGCUCCAGCACAGGGGUCACUACAGCUGCCCAGCGCAGCCAACCCCGCCACACGCUGCCCAGCUUAGGGGACAAGGGUACCCACCGGUGGGCACAACACAGCCCUGCUUCCUCCCACCCAGCGAGCUGCCGUCUCCUGCGGCUGCUCACCUGCUUGCUCAACUUCCUGGGUACAGCCCACAACAUGGCAUCGGCUGCGGGCGGCGAGCUGGGAACAGGGCAGUGCAGGGCACCGCUGUCCCCGCCGGCCAAGGAUGGGGAAAGCAGGGCCCCCCCGCUGCGGCCAUGCUCUGUGCUCAGGGGCAAUGAAGCAUGGAGGGAAGGUGCUCAGGGGCAAGCAGUGCUGCAGCCUCCAAUGUGGGAAAUCACCAUCAGCUUCCCCAAGGGCCUGCGUCACCCAGUCCUGAUGGAGAGUGGACACGAGGACCUGACUCACCCGGCUGCUGGUGCUUUCCAGUGGCGUGGGGGGCAUCUAGCAGUGCUGUGCACUGCCGGAGCGCAGCACCCUGCCAGCAGCCACCCUGUACACUGUGCCGUGCAUGGGGAGGCUUCCCUAGAGAGAAUCUGCUGGGCACAGAGAUGGGGGGGCAGAGCCCCCCAGCAGCCAGCAGUGCUGGCUGGACUCCUAGGACAGCCUGGCCGGGCACAACCUGCUGCUCUGCAUUCCUAUGGAUAG
Molecule: long non-coding RNA, 1245 nt
Filed under: Numida meleagris (helmeted guineafowl)
Lineage: Eukaryota; Metazoa; Chordata; Aves; Galliformes; Numididae
Description: lncRNA (ENSNMEG00000016160.1)
Source: RNAcentral